AUGUAUUUUGUGUGUAGGAAAUUAUUACAUGAAUUGGGAUAUAUCUCAUAAUUAAUGAUAUAUGAAUGCCUUAAAACUAAAUGAAAUUAUUAGAAAUGAAUAUAAUUAUGAAAGCAUGUAAUAAUUUAGUGAAUAAGAAAGUCACUCAAAGGUGUACCAAUAUAUGAUAGGUGGAUAUCUGAGGGUAUAAGAUGAAGUUAGUGGAUCGCACGGAGUUGACCGCAUAAUCCGGAGUGUUGGAGUAAAAGUCGCGUAUGUGUAUAUAUAUAUAUAAUAAUAAAGGACGUAGAGGGUGGAAAGAACCGCCGGAAAGUGUGCUGAAAUAAACGGAAGUUCGUCUUUAUUUAUAAAGCACCACCAGACGCCAGCUCAGGUAUAGUAGGUGCUUACAGCUUGUAAUUGUAAAGCAGAAGAAACUCAAGACAGGGCCUAAACAAAUGUUAUUCAGAGACCACAAGCACUCCUAUAAUGUCUCCAGCAAACACUCUCACGCCAAAGGACAUGAAUAACCAACAGGGUAGAAGAACUGAACAAUAUGUUUGAUUUGGUGUAAAU
Molecule: non-coding RNA, 555 nt
Organism: Lupinus albus (white lupine)
Lineage: Eukaryota; Viridiplantae; Streptophyta; Magnoliopsida; Fabales; Fabaceae
Source: the annotation of a GenBank genome assembly